This 403-nucleotide ribosomal RNA is filed under the name uncultured bacterium. Its description in RNAcentral is "partial 16S ribosomal RNA". It matches the Rfam family "Bacterial small subunit ribosomal RNA", at positions 29 to 526 of the family's 1533-position model. The record is from RNAcentral.
AUUGAACGCUGGCGGCAGGCCUAACACAUGCAAGUCGAGCGAGCGGCGGACGGGUGAGUAAUGUAUGGGGACUGCCCGAUAGAGGGGGAUAACUACUGGAAACGGUGGCUAAUACCGAAUACUAUCGGAUAACCCAUAUGGGAUUAGCUAGUAGGUGUGGUAAAGGCUAACCUAGGCGACGAUCUCCAGCUGGUCUGAGAGGAUGAUACGCAGCACUGGGAAUAGGACACGGCCCAGACUACUACGGAGGGAGCAGGGGUGAAUAGUGCACAAGGGGCGAAAGCCUGAUGCAGCCAUGCCGCGUGUAUGAAGAAGGCCUGAGGGUUGUAAAGUACUUUCAGCGGGGAGGCGUGACCCGCAGAAGAAGCACCGGCUAACUCCGUGCCAGCAGCCGAGGUAAUUC